This 259-nucleotide ribosomal RNA is filed under the name uncultured Burkholderiales bacterium. RNAcentral describes it as "partial 16S ribosomal RNA". It matches the Rfam family "Bacterial small subunit ribosomal RNA", at positions 524 to 784 of the family's 1533-position model. The record is from RNAcentral. Lineage: Bacteria; Pseudomonadati; Pseudomonadota; Betaproteobacteria; Burkholderiales.
UACGUAGGGUGCGAGCGUUAAUCGGAAUUACUGGGCGUAAAGCGUGCGCAGGCGGCUUUGCAAGACAGAGGUGAAAUCCCCGGGCUCAACCUGGGAACUGCCUUUGUGACUGCAAGGCUAGAGUACGGCAGAGGGGGAUGGAAUUCCGCGUGUAGCAGUGAAAUGCGUAGAUAUGCGGAGGAACACCGAUGGCGAAGGCAAUCCCCUGGGCCUGUACUGACGCUCAUGCACGAAAGCGUGGGGGCAACAGGAUUAGAUA